RNAcentral lists this small nucleolar RNA (67 nucleotides) under Chinchilla lanigera (long-tailed chinchilla). RNAcentral describes it as "Small nucleolar RNA SNORD60 (ENSCLAG00000018883.1)". Lineage: Eukaryota; Metazoa; Chordata; Mammalia; Rodentia; Chinchillidae. The record is from RNAcentral.
AAUCUAUCAUGUGCACCUGAUAUAAAAACUGCAUGUGCAGUCUGAUUAUGUUGCAAGACUGGGAAUU